GUCCACGCCGUAAACGAUGAAUGCCAGUCGUCGGGUAGCAUGCUAUUCGGUGACACACCUAACGGAUUAAGCAUUCCGCCUGGGGAGUACGGCCGCAAGGUUAAAACUCAAAGGAAUUGACGGGGGCCCCGCACAAGCGGUGGAGCAUGUGGUUUAAUUCGAAGCAACGCGCAGAACCUUACCAACCCUUGACAUGGCAGUGACCGUUCCAGAGAUGGUCCUUUCUCGCAAGAGACACUGCACACAGGUGCUGCAUGGCUGUCGU
Molecule: ribosomal RNA, 265 nt
Filed under: uncultured bacterium
Lineage: Bacteria
Description: partial 16S ribosomal RNA
Rfam family: Bacterial small subunit ribosomal RNA
Source: RNAcentral